This 399-nucleotide ribosomal RNA is filed under the name uncultured bacterium. Its description in RNAcentral is "bacterial SSU rRNA". It matches the Rfam family "Bacterial small subunit ribosomal RNA", at positions 64 to 507 of the family's 1533-position model. The record is from RNAcentral.
GAGCGGGCAUCGCAAGAUGUCAGCGGCAGACGGGAGAGUAACACGUGGGAACAUGCCCUUCGGUUCGGAAUAACUCAGGGAAACUUGAGCUAAUACCGGAUACGUCCGUAAGGAGAAAGAUUUAUCGCCGAAGGAUUGGCCCGCGUCCGAUUAGCUAGUUGGUGAGGUAACGGCUCACCAAGGCGACGAUCGGUAGCUGGUCUGAGAGGAUGAUCAGCCUCACUGGGACUGAGACACGGCCCAGACUCCUACGGGAGGCAGCAGUGGGGAAUAUUGGACAAUGGGCGCAAGCCUGAUCCAGCCAUGCCGCGUGGGUGAUGAAGGCCCUAGGGUUGUAAAGCCCUUUCGGCGGGGAAGAUAAUGACGGUACCCGCAGAAGAAGCCCCGGCUAACUUCGUG